AAUGGUUCUGCAAUAAUUUUUUGAUAUGGCCUCCAGUCCUCUCAUAUUAGCAUGAACACCCCCGAAUUUGACUUUCUUAAAUGUAAUGAGUUUCUUGUGACUUGCUUCUUUGUUCUAAACAAACGGAUUUCGGAUCCUUCUCCCCUUUUCCAUUGUUUUAUUCCAUUUCUCCUUUUCAAUGGACUUGGGUUAAUACGCCUGCAUGUUUUCCUAACAGGUACAACUCCAAAAAUUAUAUUUUGGAGUGGUCCAUACUUCUCAUUAACGACUCAAACCGCAGGUCAGCAUAAGCUGAAUUUUGUUUUAAUAUAUGGAACUCAAGUUUUUUCUACGCAAGUUUGCAGUGGCGUUUAUUUUCUAACUUCGUAUUGGCAAACUUUGCAAUAGAUCAAUGGAAUUUGUUGUUCCUCCUUCAGAUUCAUUAGUCUUUUUUCCGAUUUCAGUGUGUUUUACUGCUGCAAGUCCAUUUAGCGACCUAAAGGUCAUCACUAUCUUGCCCCUAAAAGGUGGACCAUCUCCCAAGUUUGCACAGAGGACGAUCCUAUCCAUAGAGAGCUACCAAGUGGCGUGACUUAUGCUUCAUAUUAUACAUUUCCGCACAUACGUUCUUUACGAAGACAGUUGUUGCCUCGUCUGGUACUCAAAUUUUGGGAUGAAUUGAUACUGGAUUGCUCUUCUCUAGGAAUUUAUUUCAUUUUUCCUGCCACAUCAUCGCAUCUCUGGAAUAUAGAUUAAUAUAGAGCUUGAUUGGCGAGCUU
Rhododendron vialii is the source of this 758-nucleotide long non-coding RNA. RefSeq lists it as uncharacterized. The transcript is spliced from 2 exons. The record is from RefSeq and is a predicted model, not a curated record. Lineage: Eukaryota; Viridiplantae; Streptophyta; Magnoliopsida; Ericales; Ericaceae.